This 91-nucleotide ribosomal RNA is filed under the name Urocitellus parryii (Arctic ground squirrel). Lineage: Eukaryota; Metazoa; Chordata; Mammalia; Rodentia; Sciuridae. The record is from RNAcentral.
ACAACCCUGAAUGCGUCCAAUUUUGUUAGACCUUGGAAGUUAAGCAGGGAUGGGACUGGUUAGUACUUGGAUGGGAUAUGGCAAUCGGUGA